Small nuclear RNA from Acinonyx jubatus (cheetah), 196 nucleotides. RefSeq annotates it as U2 spliceosomal RNA. The record is from RefSeq and is a predicted model, not a curated record. NCBI's taxonomy places the organism in Eukaryota, Metazoa, Chordata, Mammalia, Carnivora, Felidae. The transcript has a single exon.
AACGAUUCUCGCCCUUUUUCGCUACGAUCAAGUGUAGGAGCAGUCCUCUUCGUGCUCGGUAUCUGAUACGUUCUCUAGUCGAGAACGGCAUCGUAAAUGGGUUUGCUGGGGCUGGGUAAGUGGGGUCAGGGGUUCGCUCCGUUCUUUUCACGCAUCGGCCUGGCAUUGCAGUAUUUCUAGGAACUGUGCGCGCUUC